This is a long non-coding RNA of Fundulus heteroclitus (mummichog), 162 nucleotides long. RefSeq lists it as uncharacterized. The transcript is spliced from 3 exons. The record is from RefSeq and is a predicted model, not a curated record. Lineage: Eukaryota; Metazoa; Chordata; Actinopteri; Cyprinodontiformes; Fundulidae.
UCCAGUUCUAGCAAUGAUUAUUUGACUGCAGCUGAGGCUUUUGCCAAAGCAAAACAUCUUGUACAGCCGCAAGUUGUGAAGAAGAAGCAAUAUCCACUGGCAGUUAAACCAUCAAAGUUGUCACUUCUAAAGAAGUUAUCUGCGUAGAUGAUGAAACUACAG